AUGUCAGGACAAAUUUUGUUAAGGUUGAACCAGUUUUCAGCAGAUGAAAUGGCCAUUUCAUCCAGUUCCAGCGGUGGUCCCGGAGGUCGCACCGUGUCCCGUUCCAGCGGUGGUCCCGGAGGAUGCAUCGCAUCCUGUCUCGGCGGUGGUCCCAGAGGACGCAUCGCAUCCUGUCUCAGCGGUGGUCCCAGAGGACGCAUUGCAUCCUGUCUCGGCUGUGGUUCCGGAGGACGCAUCACACCCUGUCUCGGCGGUGGUCCCGGAGGACGCACCACAUCCUGUCCAGUCCUUCCGAGAGGCUCUGGUCCAACUCUUCCAAGAUGCUCUGGUCCAGCCCUUCCAAGAGGCUCCGGUCCAGCCCUUCCAAGAGGCUCCGGUCCAGCCCGUCCAAGAGGCUCCGGUUCAGCCCGUCCAAGAGGCUCCGCCCAGUCCGGCGCAGCCUGUCCAAGAGGCUCCGCCCAGUCUGGCGCAGCCUGUCCAAGAGGCUCCGCCCAGUCCGGCGCCUCCAGGCCAGAAGUCAAUGCCUCCAAGCCAAGGGUCGACACCUUCGAGCCAAGGGUCGACGCCUCCGAGCCCAGGGUGGAUGCCUCCGAGCCAAGGGUCGACACCUCCAAGCCAAGGGUCGACGCCUCCAGGCCAAGGGUCGACGCCGCCAGGCUAGAAGUCGACGCCCCCAGACCAGAAGUCGACGCCCCCAGGCCAGAAGUCGACGCCUCCUGUCUCGAAGUCAACGCGUCCUGUCUCGAAGUCGACGCCCCAGUCUCAAAGUCGACGCCUCCUGUCUCGAAGUCGACAGAAGUAGGCGUCUCCAGCUCUGAAGUAGGCGUCUCCAGCUCUGAAGUAGGCAUCUCCAGCUCUGAAGUAGGCGUCUCCAGCUCUGAAGUAGAUGUCUCCAGCUCUGAAGUAGACGUCUCCAACUCUGAAGUAGACGUUUCCAGCUCCAGCUCUGAAGUAGACAUUUCCAGCUCCAGCUCUGAAGUAGACGUCUCCAGCUCCAACUCUGAAGUAGACGUCUCCCCGUCUCAAGUCUCGAUGUCGCCGUCUCAAGUGUUCCAGUCCCCACAAGUGUCCCAGUCUCCACAAGUGUCCCAGUCUCAAGUGUCCCAGUCUCAAGUGUCCCAGUCCCAAGAGUCCCCUGUGUCCCAGUCUCAAGUGUUCCAGUCUCAAGAGUCCCCUGAGUUCCAGUCUCAAGUGUCCCAGUCUCAAGUAUUCCAGUCUCAAGAGUCCCCUGUGUUCCAGUCUCAAGUGUUCCAUUCUCAAGAGUCCCAUGUGUUCCAGUCUCAAGUGUCCCAGUCUCAAGUGUCCCCUGUGUUCCAGUCUCUCGAGUCCCAAGUGUUCCUGUCUCAGUCCCUGUCUCCAGAGUUCCAGUCUCAGUCCCUGUCUCCAGAGACCCUUCCUCAUCCGCUGCAGUCCCUUCCUCGGCCUCCUCCUCCAAAGCCCCCGAUCCCCAGGGUUUCCUGUUCCCACCUCCUGGUUCCCUGUCGCCGGCCCACUAGACUUCCCUGGUCCCGCCUCCUGGUUCCCCGUCGCCGGCCCCCUAGACUUCCCUGGUCCCGCCUCCUGGUUCCCCGUCGCCGGCCC
This is a long non-coding RNA of Nothobranchius furzeri (turquoise killifish), 1581 nucleotides long. Lineage: Eukaryota; Metazoa; Chordata; Actinopteri; Cyprinodontiformes; Nothobranchiidae. The record is from Ensembl.